AGAGUUUGAUCCUGGCUCAGGACGAACGCUGGCGGCGCGCCUAACACAUGCAAGUCGAACGGAGUUAUUUGAGAUGAAGUUUUCGGACAGAAUUUCUUAUAACUUAGUGGCGGACGGGUGAGUAACACGUGAGCAACCUGCCUUUGCGAGGGGGACAACAUUUGGAAACGAAUGCUAAUACCGCAUAAUGUCUUGAAACCGCAUGAUUUUAAGACCAAAGAUUUAUCGCGCAAAGAUGGGCUCGCGGCUGAUUAGAUAGUUGGCAGGGUAACGGCCCACCAAGUCGACGAUCAGUAGCCGGACUGAGAGGUUGAUCGGCCACAUUGGGACUGAGACACGGCCCAGACUCCUACGGGAGGCAGCAGUGGGGGAUAUUGCACAAUGGGGGAAACCCUGAUGCAGCGACGCCGCGUGAGGGAAGAAGGUUUUCGGAUUGUAAACCUCUGUCUUAUGGGACGAUAAUGACGGUACCAUAGGAGGAAGCCACGGCUAACUACGUGCCAGCAGCCGCGGUAAUACGUAGGUGGCAAGCGUUGUCCGGAAUUACUGGGUGUAAAGGGAGCGUAGGCGGGAAUGCAAGUUGAAUGUUUAAUCUAUCGGCUCAACUGAUAGUCGCGUUCAAAACUGCGUUUCUUGAGUGAAGUAGAGGCAAGCGGAAUUCCUAGUGUAGCGGUGAAAUGCGUAGAUAUUAGGAGGAACACCAGUGGCGAAGGCGGCUUGCUGGGCUUUUACUGACGCUGAGGCUCGAAAGUGUGGGUAGCAAACAGGAUUAGAUACCCUGGUAGUCCACACUGUAAACGAUGAUUACUAGGUGUGGGGGGACUGACCCCUUCCGUGCCGCAGUUAACACAAUAAGUAAUCCACCUGGGGAGUACGACCGCAAGGUUGAAACUCAAAGGAAUUGACGGGGGCCCGCACAAGCAGUGGAGUAUGUGGUUUAAUUCGAAGCAACGCGAAGAACCUUACCAGGUCUUGACAUCCAACUAACGAAGUAGAGAUACAUUAGGUGCCCUUCGGGGAAAGUUGAGACAGGUGGUGCAUGGUUGUCGUCAGCUCGUGUCGUGAGAUGUUGGGUUAAGUCCCGCAACGAGCGCAACCCCUAUUACUAGUUGCUACGCAAGAGCACUCUAGUGAGACUGCCGUUGACAAAACGGAGGAAGGUGGGGAUGACGUCAAAUCAUCAUGCCCCUUAUGACCUGGGCAACACACGUACUACAAUGGCCGUCAACAGAGGGAAGCAAAGCAGUGAUGCAGAGCAAAUCCCUAAAAACGGUCUCAGUUCGGAUUGUAGGCUGCAACCCGCCUACAUGAAGUCGGAAUUGCUAGUAAUCGCGGAUCAGCAUGCCGCGGUGAAUACGUUCCCGGGCCUUGCACUCACCGCCCGUCA
Molecule: ribosomal RNA, 1387 nt
Filed under: uncultured bacterium
Lineage: Bacteria
Description: bacterial SSU rRNA
Rfam family: Bacterial small subunit ribosomal RNA
Source: RNAcentral